UACAGAGGUCUCAACCGUUGUUCGGAUUCAUUGGGCGUAAAGGGUGCGUAGGCGGCGCGGUAAGUCGGGUGUGAAAUCUUGGAGCUUAACUCCGAAACUGCAUUCGAUACUGCCGUGCUUGAGGACUGGAGAGGAGACUGGAAUUUACGGUGUAGCGGUGAAAUGCGUAGAUAUCGUAAGGAAGACCAGUGGCGAAGGCGGGUCUCUGGACAGUUCCUGACGCUGAGGCACGAAGGCCAGGGGAGCAAACGGG
This 253-nucleotide ribosomal RNA is filed under the name uncultured bacterium. RNAcentral describes it as "partial 16S ribosomal RNA". It matches the Rfam family "Bacterial small subunit ribosomal RNA", at positions 524 to 776 of the family's 1533-position model. The record is from RNAcentral.